GUAAUCUCAGAGUAAGGGAUCACCAUUUAAGACAGAGUUUCACAGCUGAAAGAUUACAGCCCAGGCCACGUCCUGGUGAAACACCUCUGGGUUGGUGGUGCCAAUAGCAAAGGAAUGCUGUAUUUCAGACUUGCCACAUCAACUGCCCAUACGGAGUUCUGUAACCAGCUGGUUGGCAAGAACCAACACUGUAUGUGUAGGCUGGCUGGGACUCUGGCCAGGUUCACGAGAGUACAUAGUAUGAUCUCACCAGACAGAAACGGAGACAUCACUGGGAAAUAAACAGCAGGGCGUCUCAGGGGAUGACGUUAUCAGCUCAAUGACACAGAUGAACAACUGGAAGGAAGCGGAGGCCUCUGAUGCUCAAAAUUCCAGAUGCUGCUAGACCUGAACGAGUUUCUCCAGGAAUUUCUGUUUGUGUGCGUUUCGGUUCUCCAACAUCCGCAGUUCCUGGUUUUAUCAUCGGCACUUUGCCUGCUUAUGGCUGAAAUACCCGUGGUUCUCUUUUCUGGACCUCACUUGGAGAAAUUCAGUGGUAUCAGCGAAGACAGAAACCUUUCCUGAGGACGAUACAAUUCUUGUUUGAGAGUCAAACAUUAACUCAGUUUCUCUCUCCACUGCGUUCCUUCGGUGAUUAAAAACUUAAAAUAUAGGCCAUAAGUAUUAAUUCAACCUGGUUCUAGAUU
Molecule: non-coding RNA, 686 nt
Organism: Chiloscyllium plagiosum (whitespotted bambooshark)
Lineage: Eukaryota; Metazoa; Chordata; Chondrichthyes; Orectolobiformes; Hemiscylliidae
Source: RefSeq, a predicted model, not a curated record